RNAcentral lists this ribosomal RNA (1377 nucleotides) under uncultured bacterium. RNAcentral describes it as "bacterial SSU rRNA". It matches the Rfam family "Bacterial small subunit ribosomal RNA", at positions 18 to 1390 of the family's 1533-position model. The record is from RNAcentral.
CCUGGCUCAGGAUGAACGCUAGCUACAGGCUUAACACAUGCAAGUCGAGGGGCAGCAUGGUCUUAGCUUGCUAAGGCCGAUGGCGACCGGCGCACGGGUGAGUAACACGUAUCCAACCUGCCGUCUACUCUUGGACAGCCUUCUGAAAGGAAGAUUAAUACAAGAUGGCAUCAUGAGUCCGCAUGUUCACAUGAUUAAAGGUAUUCCGGUAGACGAUGGGGAUGCGUUCCAUUAGAUAGUAGGCGGGGUAACGGCCCACCUAGUCUUCGAUGGAUAGGGGUUCUGAGAGGAAGGUCCCCCACAUUGGAACUGAGACACGGUCCAAACUCCUACGGGAGGCAGCAGUGAGGAAUAUUGGUCAAUGGGCGAGAGCCUGAACCAGCCAAGUAGCGUGAAGGAUGACUGCCCUAUGGGUUGUAAACUUCUUUUAUAAAGGAAUAAAGUCGGGUAUGGAUACCCGUUUGCAUGUACUUUAUGAAUAAGGAUCGGCUAACUCCGUGCCAGCAGCCGCGGUAAUACGGAGGAUCCGAGCGUUAUCCGGAUUUAUUGGGUUUAAAGGGAGCGUAGAUGGAUGUUUAAGUCAGUUGUGAAAGUUUGCGGCUCAACCGUAAAAUUGCAGUUGAUACUGGAUAUCUUGAGUGCAGUUGAGGCAGGCGGAAUUCGUGGUGUAGCGGUGAAAUGCUUAGAUAUCACGAAGAACUCCGAUUGCGAAGGCAGCCUGCUAAGCUGCAACUGACAUUGAGGCUCGAAAGUGUGGGUAUCAAACAGGAUUAGAUACCCUGGUAGUCCACACGGUAAACGAUGAAUACUCGCUGUUUGCGAUAUACUGCAAGCGGCCAAGCGAAAGCGUUAAGUAUUCCACCUGGGGAGUACGCCGGCAACGGUGAAACUCAAAGGAAUUGACGGGGGCCCGCACAAGCGGAGGAACAUGUGGUUUAAUUCGAUGAUACGCGAGGAACCUUACCCGGGCUUAAAUUGCAGAUGAAUUACGGUGAAAGCCGUAAGCCGCAAGGCAUCUGUGAAGGUGCUGCAUGGUUGUCGUCAGCUCGUGCCGUGAGGUGUCGGCUUAAGUGCCAUAACGAGCGCAACCCUUGUUGUCAGUUACUAACAGGUUCCGCUGAGGACUCUGACAAGACUGCCAUCGUAAGAUGUGAGGAAGGUGGGGAUGACGUCAAAUCAGCACGGCCCUUACGUCCGGGGCUACACACGUGUUACAAUGGGGGGUACAGAGGGCCACUACCACGCGAGUGGAUGCCAAUCCCCAAAACCUCUCUCAGUUCGGACUGGAGUCUGCAACCCGACUCCACGAAGCUGGAUUCGCUAGUAAUCGCGCAUCAGCCACGGCGCGGUGAAUACGUUCCCGGGCCUUGUACACAC